Molecule: long non-coding RNA, 350 nt
Organism: Heterocephalus glaber (naked mole-rat)
Lineage: Eukaryota; Metazoa; Chordata; Mammalia; Rodentia; Bathyergidae
Source: Ensembl
CUGGUGCUCACUGAUUGAUCAAAGUACUGUGUUAUUUCCACUGGCAAGCAGAGGUAAAGUAAGAAAGCCUUAGGUCAUGAAUUGUUACCUCUUGCCUUCGAAUCACAGCCUCGCUACUUACUAAUCUACAUGGCAUCUGUGGCCCUCACUUCUCUGCCAGACUCCAUGUCCCGAAGGCUGACCUUGCAGAGUGCACCACCUGGGCUACCUGUUCAGUUCAACCAACAAGAAUUGUCCUCUUCCACUGCCUCAAUGCUAAGGAUCCAACUGUGGCUUCUCCUUUUAUAACAACUCCUGAUAGACUCUUACCAUAACACCAGCUCUCCCUAAGAUCCAAAAACAUGAUUGCC